GACGAACGCUGGCGGCGUGCUUAACACAUGCAAGUCGAACGGAAAGGCCCUGCUUUUGUGGGGUGCUCGAGUGGCGAACGGGUGAGUAACACGUGAGUAACCUGCCCUUUACUUUGUGAUAACUUCAGGAAACUGGUGCUAAUACCGGAUAGGAGCUCCUGCUGCAUGGUGUGGGUUGGUUAGUUUCGGCGGUUGGGGAUGGACUCGCGGCUUAUCAGCUUGUUGGUGGGGUAGUGGCUUACCAAGGCUUUGACGGGUAGCCGGCCUGAGAGGGUGACCGGCGACAAUGGGACUGAGAUACGGACCAGAAUCCUACGGGAGGCAGCAGUGGGGAAUAUUGCACAAUGGGAGGAAGCAUGAUGCAGAAACGCAGCGUGCGGGAUGAAGGCAUUCGGGUUGUAAAACGAUUUAGAAUGUGACGAAGAGUGAGUGACGGUAAUGGGUAAAGAAGCACCGGCUAACUACGUG
RNAcentral lists this ribosomal RNA (468 nucleotides) under uncultured bacterium. Its description in RNAcentral is "partial 16S ribosomal RNA". It matches the Rfam family "Bacterial small subunit ribosomal RNA", at positions 28 to 507 of the family's 1533-position model. The record is from RNAcentral.